GACGAACGCUGGCGGCGUGCCUAAUACAUGCAAGUCGAGCGCUGAAGGUUGGUACUUGUGCCGUCCGGGUGAGCAGCAAACGUGUGUGUAACGCGUGGGAAAUCUGCCUUUCAUCGGGGGACAACAUUUGGAAACGAAUGCUAAUACCGCAUAAGAACCUUAAACAUGAGUGUUAAGGUUGAAAUAUGCAAUUGCAUCAUUCAAAGAUGAUCCCGCGUUGUAUUAGCUAGUUGGUGAGGUAAAGGCGCAUCAAGGCGAUGAUACAUAGCCGACCUGAGAGGGGGAGCGGCCACAUUGGGACUGAGACACGGCCCAAACUCCUACGGGAGGCAGCAGUAGGGAAUCUUCGGCAAUGGACGAAAGUCUGACCGAGCAACGCCGCGUGAGUGAAGAAGGUUUUCGGAUCGUAAAACUCUGUUGGUAGAGAAGAACGUUGGUGAGAGUGGAAAGCUCAUCAAGUGACGGUAACGACCCAGAAAGGGACGGCUAACUACGU
RNAcentral lists this ribosomal RNA (496 nucleotides) under uncultured bacterium. RNAcentral describes it as "partial 16S ribosomal RNA". It matches the Rfam family "Bacterial small subunit ribosomal RNA", at positions 28 to 506 of the family's 1533-position model. The record is from RNAcentral.